This 655-nucleotide ribosomal RNA is filed under the name uncultured Actinomycetes bacterium. Its description in RNAcentral is "bacterial SSU rRNA". It matches the Rfam family "Bacterial small subunit ribosomal RNA", at positions 232 to 885 of the family's 1533-position model. Lineage: Bacteria; Bacillati; Actinomycetota; Actinomycetes. The record is from RNAcentral.
CGCGGCCUAUCAGCUUGUUGGUGGGGUAAUGGCCUACCAAGGCGACGACGGGUAGCCGGCCUGAGGGGGCGACCGGCCACACUGGGACCGAGACACGGCCCAGACUCCUACGGGAGGCAGCAGUGGGGAAUAUUGCACAAUGGGCGAAAGCCUGAUGCAGCGACGCCGCGUGAGGGACGACGGCCUUCGGGUUGUAAACCUCUUUCAGUAGGGAACAAGGCAUCAUUUUUGUGGUGUUGAGGGUACUUGCAGAAGAAGCACCGGCUAACUACGUGCCAGCAGCCGCGGUAAUACGUAGGGUGCAAGCGUUAUCCGGAAUUAUUGGGCGUAAAGAGCUCGUAGGCGGUUUGUCGCGUCUGUCGUGAAAGUCCGGGGCUCAACUCCGGAUCUGCGGUGGGUACGGGCAGACUAGAGUGAUGUAGGGGAGACUGGAAUUCCUGGUGUAGCGGUGGAAUGCGCAGAUAUCAGGAGGAACACCGAUGGCGAAGGCAGGUCUCUGGGCAUUAACUGACGCUGAGGAGCGAAAGCAUGGGGAGCGAACAGGAUUAGAUACCCUGGUAGUCCAUGCCGUAAACGUUGGGCACUAGGUGUGGGGGACAUUCCACGUUUUCCACGCCGUAGCUAACGCAUUAAGUGCCCCGCCUGGGGAGUACGG